CCUACGGGAGGCAGCAGUGGGGAAUCUUGCGCAAUGGGCGAAAGCCUGACGCAGCGACGCCGCGUGGGGGAAGAAGGCCUUAGGGUUGUAAACCUCUUUCAGGUGGGACGAAGCCACUCGGGUUAAUAGCCCAGAGGGUGACGGUACCGCCAGAAGAAGCCCCGGCUAACUACGUGCCAGCAGCCGCGGUAAUACGUAGGGGGCAAGCGUUGUCCGGAUUUAUUGGGCGUAAAGAGCGUGUAGGCGGCCAGGUAGGUGGGUUGUGAAAACUGGAGGCUCAACCUUCAGACGUCGACCCAAACCCCCUGGCUAGAGUCCGGAAGAGGAGAGUGGAAUUCCUGGUGUAGCGGUGAAAUGCGCAGAUAUCAGGAAGAACACCCGUGACGAAGGCGGCUCUCUGGGACGGUACUGACGCUGAGACGCGAAAGCGUGGGGAGCGAACAGGAUUAGAUACCCUGGUAGUCCACGCCGUAAACGAUGGGCGCUAGGUGUGGGGGGUGUCAACUCCCUCCGUGCCGAAGCUAACGCAUUAAGCACCCCGCCUGGGGAGUACGGCCGCAAGGCUAAAACUCAAAGGAAUUGACGG
This 586-nucleotide ribosomal RNA is filed under the name uncultured bacterium. Its description in RNAcentral is "bacterial SSU rRNA". It matches the Rfam family "Bacterial small subunit ribosomal RNA", at positions 338 to 916 of the family's 1533-position model. The record is from RNAcentral.